UACGUAGGUGGCAAGCGUUGUCCGGAAUUAUUGGGCGUAAAGCGCGCGCAGGCGGUCUUUCAAGUCAGUGGUGAAAGCCUGGAGCUCAACUCCAGAACUGCCAUUGAAACUGCAAGACUUGAGUACGAGAGAGGUGAGUGGAAUUCCCAGUGUAGAGGUGAAAUUCGUAGAUAUUGGGAAGAACACCGGUGGCGAAGGCGGCUCACUGGCUCGUAACUGACGCUCAGGCGCGACAGCGUGGGGAUCAAACAGG
Molecule: ribosomal RNA, 253 nt
Filed under: uncultured bacterium
Lineage: Bacteria
Description: partial 16S ribosomal RNA
Rfam family: Bacterial small subunit ribosomal RNA
Source: RNAcentral